UACGUAGGUGGCGAGCGUUGUCCGGAUUUACUGGGUGUAAAGGGCGCGUAGGCGGGGCGGCAAGUCCGAUGUGAAAUCCCGCGGCUCAACCGUGGAACCGCAUCGGAAACUGUCGUCCUUGAGUAUCGGAGGGGAAAGCGGAAUUCCUAGUGUAGCGGUGAAAUGCGUAGAUAUUAGGAGGAACACCGGUGGCGAAGGCGGCUUUCUGGCCGAAAACUGACGCUGAGGCGCGAAAGCGUGGGGAGCAAACAGGAUUAGAUACCCUGGUAGUCCACGCCGUAAACGAUGGAUACUAGGUGUGGGAGGUAUCGACCCCUUCCGUGCCGUCGUAAACACAUUAAGUAUCCCACCUGGGGAGUACGGCCGCAAGGCUGAAACUCAAAGGAAUUGACGGGGGCCCGCACAAGCAGUGGAGUAUGUGGUUUAAUUCGAAGCAACGCGAAGAACCUUACCGGGGCUUGACAUCCCGCGCUAUUCCGGGAAACCGGGAGUUCCCUUUUCGGGACGCGGAGACAGGUGGUGCAUGGUU
This 529-nucleotide ribosomal RNA is filed under the name uncultured bacterium. RNAcentral describes it as "bacterial SSU rRNA". It matches the Rfam family "Bacterial small subunit ribosomal RNA", at positions 524 to 1050 of the family's 1533-position model. The record is from RNAcentral.